RNAcentral lists this ribosomal RNA (459 nucleotides) under uncultured bacterium. RNAcentral describes it as "partial 16S ribosomal RNA". It matches the Rfam family "Bacterial small subunit ribosomal RNA", at positions 338 to 795 of the family's 1533-position model. The record is from RNAcentral.
CCUACGGGGGGCUGCAGUGAGGAAUAUUGGACAAUGGGCGCGACCCUGAACCAGCCACGUCGCGUGAGGGAAGACGGUCCUAUGGAUUGUAAACCUCUUUUGUCGGGGAGCAAAAGACGCCACGCGUGGCGUUCCGAGAGUACCCGAAGAAAAAGCAUCGGCUAACUCCGUGCCGGCAGCCGCGGUAAUAAGGAGGAUGUGAGCGUGAGCCGGAUUUAUGGGGUUGCAAGGGUGCGCAGGCGGAAGAUCAAGUCAGCGGUAAAAUUGAGAGGCUCAACCUCUUCGAGGAGUUGAAACUGGUUGACUAGAGUGAGUGAGAAGUAGGCGGAAUGCGUGGUGUAGCGGUGAAAUGCAUAGAUAUCACGCAGAACUCCGAUUGCGAAGGCAGCAUACCGGCGCUCAACUGACGCUCAUGCACGAAAGUGUGGGUAUCGAACAGGAUUAGAUACCCGUGUAGUC